UGGGCAACCUGCCUCAAUACGUGGGGGAUAGCGAGUUAGGAAACGACUGAUAAUACCGCAUAAGCGCACGGAGUCGCAUGACUCUGUGUAGAAAAACUCCGGUGGUAGUGAGAGUCGGGCCCGCGUCAGAUUAGCUAGUUGGUAAGGUAACGGCUUACCAAGGCGACGAUCUGUAGCCGGACUGAGAGGUCGGACGGCCACAUUGGGACUGAGACACGGACCCAAACUCCUACGGGAGGCAGCAGUGGGGGAUAUUGCACAAUGGAGGAAACUCUGAUGCCAGCGACGCCGCGUGAGUGAAGAAGUAUUUCGGUAUGUAAAGCUCUAUCAGCAGGGAAGAAAAUGACGGUACCUGACUAAGAAGCCCCGGCUAACUACGUGCCAGCCGCGGC
RNAcentral lists this ribosomal RNA (392 nucleotides) under uncultured bacterium. RNAcentral describes it as "bacterial SSU rRNA". It matches the Rfam family "Bacterial small subunit ribosomal RNA", at positions 118 to 518 of the family's 1533-position model. The record is from RNAcentral.